UACGUAGGGUGCAAGCGUUAAUCGGAAUUACUGGGCGUAAAGCGUGCGCAGGCGGUUGUGCAAGACCGAUGUGAAAUCCCCGGGCUCAACCUGGGAAUGGCAUUGGUGACUGCACGGCUAGAGUGUGUCAGAGGGGGGUAGAAUUCCACGUGUAGCAGUGAAAUGCGUAGAGAUGUGGAAGAAUACCGAUGGCGAAGGCAGCCCCCUGGGAUAACACUGACGCUCAUGCACGAAAGCGUGGGGAGCAAACAGG
This 253-nucleotide ribosomal RNA is filed under the name uncultured bacterium. RNAcentral describes it as "partial 16S ribosomal RNA". It matches the Rfam family "Bacterial small subunit ribosomal RNA", at positions 524 to 776 of the family's 1533-position model. The record is from RNAcentral.